RNAcentral lists this ribosomal RNA (301 nucleotides) under uncultured bacterium. Its description in RNAcentral is "partial 16S ribosomal RNA". It matches the Rfam family "Bacterial small subunit ribosomal RNA", at positions 509 to 807 of the family's 1533-position model. The record is from RNAcentral.
CAGUCGCCGCGGGAAUACGGAGGGUGCAAGCGUUAAUCGGAAUUACUGGGCGUAAAGCGUGCGUAGGCGGUUCGUUAAGUCUGUUGUGAAAGCCCCGGGCUCAACCUGGGAAUGGCAAUGGAUACUGGCGAGCUAGAGUGUGUCAGAGGAUGGUGGAAUUCCCGGUGUAGCGGUGAAAUGCGUAGAGAUCGGGAGGAACAUCAGUGGCGAAGGCGGCCAUCUGGGACAACACUGACGCUGAGGCACGAAAGCGUGGGGAGCAAACAGGAUUAGAGACCCCCGUAGUCCCUGUCUCUUAUAC